This 376-nucleotide ribosomal RNA is filed under the name uncultured Gammaproteobacteria bacterium. RNAcentral describes it as "bacterial SSU rRNA". It matches the Rfam family "Bacterial small subunit ribosomal RNA", at positions 521 to 896 of the family's 1533-position model. The record is from RNAcentral. Lineage: Bacteria; Pseudomonadati; Pseudomonadota; Gammaproteobacteria.
UAAUACGGAGGGUGCAAGCGUUAAUCGGAAUUACUGGGCGUAAAGCGUGCGUAGGUGGUAUGUUAAGUUAGAUGUGAAAGCCCUGGGCUCAACCUAGGAACUGCAUUUAAAACUGGCAAACUAGAGUAUAGGAGAGGAAAGUGGAAUUUCAGGUGUAGCGGUGAAAUGCGUAGAUAUCUGAAGGAACAUCAAUGGCGAAGGCAGCUUUCUGGACUAAUACUGACACUGAGGUACGAAAGCGUGGGUAGCAAACAGGAUUAGAUACCCUGGUAGUCCACGCCGUAAACGAUGACAACUAGCCGUUGGGAGGAUUUACCUCUUAGUGGCGAAGCUAACGCGUUAAGUUGUCCGCCUGGGGAGUACGGCCGCAAGGUUA